GCCCUCGUAGUUUAAUGGACAGAACACGGGAUUGCGGAUCCCGGAAUAGGGGUUCGAUUCCUCUCGGGGGCACCA
This 75-nucleotide transfer RNA is filed under the name bacterium. RNAcentral describes it as "tRNA-Arg". It matches the Rfam family "tRNA". Rfam says of the family: Transfer RNA (tRNA) molecules are approximately 80 nucleotides in length. Their secondary structure includes four short double-helical elements and three loops (D, anti-codon, and T loops). Further hydrogen bonds mediate the characteristic L-shaped molecular structure. tRNAs have two regions of fundamental functional importance: the anti-codon, which is responsible for specific mRNA codon recognition, and the 3' end, to which the tRNAs corresponding amino acid is attached (by aminoacyl-tRNA synthetases). tRNAs cope with the degeneracy of the genetic code in two manners: having more than one tRNA (with a specific anti-codon) for a particular amino acid; and 'wobble' base-pairing, i.e. permitting non-standard base-pairing at the 3rd anti-codon position. The record is from RNAcentral.